Molecule: ribosomal RNA, 245 nt
Filed under: uncultured bacterium
Lineage: Bacteria
Description: partial 16S ribosomal RNA
Rfam family: Bacterial small subunit ribosomal RNA
Source: RNAcentral
GACGGAGGGGGCGAGCGUUGUUCGGAAUUAUUGGGCGUAAAGGGCGCGUAGGCGGACCCGUGUGUCUGGCGUGAAAUCUCCACUGCUCAACAGGGAGAGGUCGCUGGAAACUGCGGAUCUUGAGUUCGGUAGAGGAUCGUGGAAUUCUAGGUGUAGCGGUAAAAUGCGUAGAUAUCUGGAAGAACACCGGUGGCGAAGGCGGCGAUCUGGGCCGAAACUGACGCUGAGGCGCGAAAGCCAGGGGA